GGUAAUAUGGCUGAGCAAGCGUUAGACUGUAAAUCUAAAGACAGAAGCUGAACCUUCUUGUUACC
RNAcentral lists this transfer RNA (65 nucleotides) under Diphylla ecaudata (Hairy-legged vampire bat). RNAcentral describes it as "tRNA-Tyr". It matches the Rfam family "tRNA". From Rfam's summary of the family: Transfer RNA (tRNA) molecules are approximately 80 nucleotides in length. Their secondary structure includes four short double-helical elements and three loops (D, anti-codon, and T loops). Further hydrogen bonds mediate the characteristic L-shaped molecular structure. tRNAs have two regions of fundamental functional importance: the anti-codon, which is responsible for specific mRNA codon recognition, and the 3' end, to which the tRNAs corresponding amino acid is attached (by aminoacyl-tRNA synthetases). tRNAs cope with the degeneracy of the genetic code in two manners: having more than one tRNA (with a specific anti-codon) for a particular amino acid; and 'wobble' base-pairing, i.e. permitting non-standard base-pairing at the 3rd anti-codon position. Lineage: Eukaryota; Metazoa; Chordata; Mammalia; Chiroptera; Phyllostomidae. The record is from RNAcentral.